AUUGAACGCUGGCGGCAGGCCUAACACAUGCAAGUCGAACGGUAGCACAGAGAGCUUGCUCUCGGGUGACGAGUGGCGGACAGGUGAGUAACGUCUGGGAAACUGCCCGAUGGAGGGGGAUAACUACUGGAAACGGUAGCUAAUACCGCAUAACGUCGCAAGACCAAAGUGGGGGACCUUCGGGCCUCACACCAUCGGAUGUGCCCAGAUGGGAUUAGCUAGUAGGUGGGGUAAUGGCUCACCUAGGCGACGAUCCCUAGCUGGUCUGAGAGGAUGAACAGCCACACUGGAACUGAGACACGGUCCAGACUCCUACGGGAGGCAGCAGUGGGGAAUAUUGCACAAUGGGCGCAAGCCUGAUGCAGCCAUGCCGCGUGUAUGAAGAAGGCCUUCGGGUUGUAAAGUACUUUCAGCGGGGAGGAAGGCGGUGAAGUUAAUAGCUUCACCGAUUGACGUUACCCGCAGAAGAAGCACCGGCUAACUCCGUGCCAGCCGCCGCGGUAA
Molecule: ribosomal RNA, 504 nt
Filed under: uncultured bacterium
Lineage: Bacteria
Description: partial 16S ribosomal RNA
Rfam family: Bacterial small subunit ribosomal RNA
Source: RNAcentral